CUUAAUGAAGUUUCCUUGUAACACAAAAGCCAAUCAGAUUUUUAAUUGAGAAGCGAUGUGUUCUCUUUCGGACAUACGAGUUUACAGCCCAUCGUUUGCUUACCUCCGUGUGCCAUCGGAACCGUCAUUAUUAUCCUGUGAGCCGAAGCAGCACAAACAGGUUGUCAGAGCAGAUGCUGGUCGGUUGCUGGGUCAUGUGAGCUUCUGAGGACCUGUGAGAGGCUGGGCCCCCAGACCCACAGCCUGGCAUCAGAAGGCAGCACAGCUAGGCUCUUUCCUCCCCCAUAUAUCAGCACCAGAGGGAAGACUCCUGGAAAAGAGGGCAACACCUGUCACAAUAGGCAUGCCACAGUGGCAGGGAUGCAAACACGCCAGUGGAACGGAUGCCCCGCCUGAACAGUACGUGGUCCACAGCCUGCAAAAGUACCCCAGGCCUGACCCUCAACUAGAGAUGUAGUGGAUGAAACCUCCAGGAUGCAGUAAAACAGUGCCCAUCAUUCCAGCAAUCAAGACAAUCUAACUUGAGGAAAAAAACAGUCAAAUGACAGCAACAGUCAGGAUACAAACUUCCAAAAAGCAAAACCGGAUAAGCUCGAAGAAAUCACGACAAGACGUUUCACAACGAAGCCUUUGCGAACCAGAGUCCAAGGAGUGGUCUCGAAAGCAGCGAGAGAGAAAGGACAUGUCACCUGGGGAGGGUUUCCCAUCUGAGGCCGUGGGGGCCAUGAAGAGGCUGCACAGGCUUCCCAAGUGCUGGACGUAGAAGGGCUGGUAGUUGUGGGCACCACAUCCAGGGAACCCAGAGGGAAGUAGGCAUGUGCACGUGUGAAAAGACACUACAGGAAUUGCUUGCAGACGUUUCUGUGAGGACUGGCUUUGUGAUGUGUUAUGUAGCGUUCCUCAGACAGUCGGCAAAUCAAAGGAGAAAGACUCAAGGGGCUUCAUGGAGGAGCAGUGGCGAGACCGGGGGUGUCCACACAACAGGCUUUCUUUUCCUCGAGUUUUACAAAUCAUAUUUGAUGAUUGAAAGAGAAACCAAACUUUUAAGACAAUGUUCUCCAUGGGUGGGGAGGGUACAAGGACAGACGGAAUGGGUGGUGACUGCUUGCUGGACGAUAUCCCAGUGUCUGUGAUGAUGCACCUGCUAUGAAAAGUCCAUGCAAAGACACACGUUUCGCUGUAAAGAUUUGAAGGCAUGUAAACCCAGAUGGAUCCUAAAAUAUGUUCAAGUGCCACAGGAAGGCAACAAGGGUGAACAGAGAAAUGAAAACUGCAGGAACCAAAUAGAAAGCACAUGUAAAGAGAUUGAAGGCUAAUGUGUCAAUAAUUACUUUUAAUGCACGGUCAGACAGACCAAUUAGAAGAUAGGCUGGCAAAAUGGAUCAAAGAGGUGACCUGACUAUAUACUGCUUGUAGGAAACUCACUUCAGGGAAGCCUGGGUAGCUCAGUCAGUUGAGUGUCUGACUCUUGAUUUCGGCUCAGGUCAUGAUUCCAGGGUCAUAGGAUCGAACCCCGUGUCAGGCUCCGUGCUGAGCGUGGGGCCUGCUUGGGAUUCUCUCUUUUCCUAGCUCUUUGCCCCUCCCAUGCUCAUGCUCUCUCUUUCUCUCAAAUAAAAAAAAAAACUCAUUUCAAAUUCAAUGACAGAUGGAGAUAGAAAGUGGAGGGUUAGAGAAGGUGCAUCACAUGCCCAGUGAGUAUGAGUCCCAGUGGCUGUAUUAACAUCUGAGAAAGUAGUCUUUGGAGCAGUAGAAGUUACAAGGGUGCAGAGUGACCCUGCUUAAGUCCUUAAGAGGACCCUGCAGAGUGACGGGUCUUCUUACCCGUCCACGGGAAGGCACAACACCCUAAAAGUGCAGCCUCAAAACUGAUGAAACCACAAUUUUAUUAUGAUCAAUAAUAAUAUCAAUGUUAUUACCAAAUUAUGGUUUAAUUUUCUGCUUUUAAGGGACAUUGGAAUGAUGCCAUUGAAUUUUUAUUUACUUACCUGCCAUCAAAAUCCUUCUAAGGGAUCCGCAUCCCAUUCCCUGUGGUUUUUACGUUCACUGGCGCAUUAUGAUUUUGUUCUGUGUCGAAGACACCACAGAUCCCAAUCCAGAAGUGGGGGUGACAAUGACAAAGUGUUUACCAAUUUUUUCCUUGUGUUUAUGCAAGAAACAAUUUGGAGAGGUGCCUGGGUGGCUCAGUUGGCUAAGCGUCUGACUUCAGCUCAGUCACGAUCUUGUGGUUCAUGAUUUCGAGCCCCACGUCAGGCUCUGUGCUGACAGCUCAGAGCCUGGAGCCUGCUUCAUUCUGGGCCUCCCUCUCUCUCCCUGCUCCUCCCCUGCUUGCACUCCAUCUCUCUCUGUCUCUCAAAAAUGAGCAAAUGUUAAAAAAAAGAAACGGAAACAACUUGGAGAGGUGUA
Molecule: long non-coding RNA, 2403 nt
Organism: Neofelis nebulosa (Clouded leopard)
Lineage: Eukaryota; Metazoa; Chordata; Mammalia; Carnivora; Felidae
Exons: 4
Source: RefSeq, a predicted model, not a curated record